Leptopilina boulardi is the source of this 451-nucleotide long non-coding RNA. RefSeq lists it as uncharacterized. The transcript is spliced from 3 exons. The record is from RefSeq and is a predicted model, not a curated record. Lineage: Eukaryota; Metazoa; Arthropoda; Insecta; Hymenoptera; Figitidae.
GUGUAAAGUUGGUUUUGUGCCUUUAUGUGAAAUUAAAUUUAAAAUGUGAUAAAUUUAUAAUUUUUCGGGACGAAGUGUCAUCGACGUCGUCAAAUGGGCGGUGAGUCUCCAGUUAUAUAUUGUUCUGUCGCGAUGGGUAUCGAACACUAAAGGAAAAUUAGCUAAUAUCAAACGGUGCAAACGAACCACUGGAAGAGGCAAUUUCAGCAACGCGAAUAUUAGUCUAACGGGGUUGGAAGACCGACUUUUGGCUGUAAAAGGCAAAAGUUGCAUUUUAGGGGAUGGCGUAACGAAAGAAAUUGGAAUACCAGAAUCUGACUCUGAUACGAUCCUGUCAUAAGUUUCUGUUGGUCACCGCGAGACACAUUUUUUCAAGGACCCUUGGGAGAUCGUAUGCAUAGGACAGAAAAAUUAAUAUUGAUAUGAAUAAAAUAUUUUUUUAAAUACACUA